RNAcentral lists this unclassified non-coding RNA (252 nucleotides) under Hevea brasiliensis (rubber tree). The record is from RNAcentral. Lineage: Eukaryota; Viridiplantae; Streptophyta; Magnoliopsida; Malpighiales; Euphorbiaceae.
UGUUUGAGCGCAAAUGACAAAUAUCUGCAGUCUACCAUCAAAUAUGUGGAUGAGCAGCUAUCUAAUUCUCAAGCAAUUCCAUCUGUGGCUAUCUGAUUUACGCAUGAGAUCAAUUGACACGUUAAAUAGGAAAAAUCUUAGGAAAUAUUCAUUUGCAUUCAAUCAGUUUUCUCUCUUGCUCAGGACUGACAUCAACAAGAUAUUCAAAAUAAACUUGUUCUACAAAUUAUAGGUAGCAUAUUCUUUUAUUUU